Molecule: ribosomal RNA, 484 nt
Filed under: uncultured bacterium
Lineage: Bacteria
Description: partial 16S ribosomal RNA
Rfam family: Bacterial small subunit ribosomal RNA
Source: RNAcentral
AUUGAACGCUGGCGGCAUGCUUUACACAUGCAAGUCGAACGGCAGCGCGGGCUUCGGCCUGGCGGCGAGUGGCGAACGGGUGAGUAAUACAUCGGAACGUGCCCAGUAGCUGGGGAUAGCUCGGCGAAAGCCGGAUUAAUACCGCAUACGACCUGAGGGCGAACGCGGGGGAUCUUCGGACCUCGCGCUAUUGGAGCGGCCGAUGGCAGAUUAGCUAGUUGGUGGGGUAAAGGCCUACCAAGGCGACGAUCUGUAGCUGGUCUGAGAGGACGACCAGCCACACUGGGACUGAGACACGGCCCAGACUCCUACGGGAGGCAGCAGUGGGGAAUUUUGGACAAUGGGCGAAAGCCUGAUCCAGCAAUGCCGCGUGUGUGAUGAAGGCCUUCGGGUUGUAAAGCACUUUUGGCGGGAACGAAAAGGAGUGGGCCAAUACCACGGUUCGAUGACGGUACCCGCAGAAUAAGCACCGGCUAACUACGUG